Small nucleolar RNA from Nicotiana attenuata, 131 nucleotides. It matches the Rfam family "Small nucleolar RNA snoR77". NCBI's taxonomy places the organism in Eukaryota, Viridiplantae, Streptophyta, Magnoliopsida, Solanales, Solanaceae. The record is from Rfam.
AGGCAGCCCCCUUUGUUCGAUUUGAUGGGAAGGGAGGUGUUAAUCUGCUCGUAAAUUAAAUUGGCUUUUGGUCUUCAGAUUUGCUGAGAUAUUAUAUCUUUGAAGCUGGUCUAGUAAAUCCUAAGCACAAU